This 301-nucleotide ribosomal RNA is filed under the name uncultured bacterium. RNAcentral's name for it is "partial 16S ribosomal RNA". It matches the Rfam family "Bacterial small subunit ribosomal RNA", at positions 509 to 807 of the family's 1533-position model. The record is from RNAcentral.
CAGUAGCCGCGGUAAUACGGAGGGUGCAAGCGUUAAUCGGAAUUACUGGGCGUAAAGCGCACGCAGGCGGUCUGUCAAGUCGGAUGUGAAAUCCCCGGGCUCAACCUGGGAAUGGCAGUGGAUACUGGCUCGCUAGAGUGUGUCAGAGGAUGGUGGAAUUCCCGGUGUAGCGGUGAAAUGCGUAGAGAUCGGGAGGAACAUCAGUGGCGAAGGCGGCCAUCUGGGACAACACUGACGCUGAGGCACGAAAGCGUGGGGAGCAAACAGGAUUAGAUACCCCGGUAGUCCCUGUCUCUUAUAC